GCCUCGGUGGCGGAAUUGGUAGACGCAUGCGACUCAAAAUCGUAUGUCCGUAAGGACGUGUGGGUUCGAUUCCCACCCGAGGUA
RNAcentral lists this transfer RNA (84 nucleotides) under Bacteroidota bacterium. RNAcentral describes it as "tRNA-Leu". It matches the Rfam family "tRNA". Rfam says of the family: Transfer RNA (tRNA) molecules are approximately 80 nucleotides in length. RNAcentral also lists the same sequence under 1 other name. The record is from RNAcentral. Lineage: Bacteria; Pseudomonadati; Bacteroidota.